RNAcentral lists this long non-coding RNA (1304 nucleotides) under Ananas comosus (pineapple). RNAcentral describes it as "long non-coding RNA (ACOM_LNC044132)". The record is from RNAcentral. Lineage: Eukaryota; Viridiplantae; Streptophyta; Magnoliopsida; Poales; Bromeliaceae.
GAAUCAACAUAAGGAGAUCUUGAAGUCCGAAUAUAGAAAGAAGUGUUGGAUGUAGCCCUUGUGAUUUAUUCAAGGCGAUCUAUAAAAAUACAGUUGGUCUAUUUAAGUCGAUUUAUAAAGAUAUGGUAGGUCUAACGGUUAGGAUGUAUUUGGACACGUUUUUGAUGGAUGGACGUGAUUUAACAUCCUUACAUUAUAUAAAUAUAUAAUAUACGGGAGUCCUGAUCUAACUCUAAUCCAAUUUUCUGUGAUGGCUUUAUCUCUGGAGAUAAGGGAAUUAGAUUCGAAAUGUCUCGUUUUCUUACAAAUCGCGAAUGAGGACAAACCACGAGCAAAAAUCGCGCUUACAAAUCGGGUACAGAAAUCGAAAUCGUGGUGUUCUAAUAAAGUUUCAACAAGAAGCUCCCUACAUAUACGGUGCUUCUAUUUCUGCUGCAGAUAAGAGUACAUAUAGCUCGGUUUAAAAGAUUUUAACAUGAAUAACAUUUCAUUAAACAGUAUUUAGUACAAGAACCUUGGUAAUUGAUCAGCAAGGUCUUAUCUCUUUUCUAGUCCCUUUAAUUUGUAUGGUGCAUGAUGGAGCAAUGUGAGGAGCCAAAGCAUUGAAAGCAACAUCCAACAACACUCAAUAAACACAGCAGUACUGCCUCUUAACUUUCCUGGCCAACAUCAAGCUAUUCAAUUAUUGUUUGCCGACAAUCAUGUCUCUAUUCUUACUUAUUUUCUGGCACAUUAAUUGUGACGUCCGAACUUUCCAGAGGGUCACCCAUUCCAGCGCUACUCCCAUCCUAGCACACUUAACUCUUUUAAUCUCUUGCGCCUAGUCACCACCCAAAAUGUUUAAGCUGGGUUAAAAGUUUUAACCCUAUUAUAUCUUAUAUAUAAGAUUACCUGGAGUUUUACAUUUUCUCCCCUUUAAACCUUGACGUCGUUAUCAGGCUCGGACUCACAAGUAUUAGGCGAUGUGAGAGUCGUCUCGCUAGUCUAAACCGAUCUUGUGGUGAGUUGCCCUCCACCAAUAACAGUCAACAGUAUGAUAGUCUCGCUCUCUACUCUGUAUAAUCUUAGCUCUGUCACGCCCCGGAUUACACUUUCCCCGGGCACGCCGACAAAUCCGCCGUAUACAAAGGAAUUUCCCCUGUAUACGAAGCGAUAGCUGUACCUGUAAAUCAAACACUACUACGAACAGUAGUAGGGAGCUGCUAGAGAAAACAGAAACUAAACCAGCUGAGUUUCAUAUACAUAGUCCAAAUCCAAAAUACAAAGCUACUCGCACUGGCGAGUUAGGUCCACUAUGUACAUAA